This 419-nucleotide ribosomal RNA is filed under the name bacterium enrichment culture clone ALO1_GLFRUDD03FT10G. RNAcentral describes it as "bacterial SSU rRNA". It matches the Rfam family "Bacterial small subunit ribosomal RNA", at positions 9 to 429 of the family's 1533-position model. The record is from RNAcentral.
GAGUUUGAUCUUGGCUCAGAUUGAACGCUGGCGGCAUGCCUUACACAUGCAAGUCGAACGGCAGCACGGGAGCUUGCUCCUGGUGGCGAGUGGCGAACGGGUGAGUAAUGCAUCGGAACGUAUCCUGGAGUGGGGGAUAACGUAGCGAAAGUUACGCUAAUACCGCAUAUUCUGUGAGCAGGAAAGCGGGGGACCUUCGGGCCUCGCGCUCUUGGAGCGGCCGAUGUCGGAUUAGCUAGUUGGUGAGGUAAAGGCUCACCAAGGCGACGAUCCGUAGCAGGUCUGAGGGGAUGAUCUGCCACACUGGAACUGAGACACGGUCCAGACUCCUACGGGAGGCAGCAGUGGGGAAUUUUGGACAAUGGGGGCAACCCUGAUCCAGCCAUGCCGCGUGAGUGAAGAAGGCCUUCGGUUGUAAG